This 252-nucleotide ribosomal RNA is filed under the name uncultured soil bacterium. Its description in RNAcentral is "partial 16S ribosomal RNA". It matches the Rfam family "Bacterial small subunit ribosomal RNA", at positions 26 to 286 of the family's 1533-position model. The record is from RNAcentral.
AGGACGAACGCUGGCGGCGUGCUUAACACAUGCAAGUCACGGGGGUCCCGCAAGGGAUAACCGGCGAACGGGUGCGUAACACGUGAACAACCUGCCCUCGUGUGGGGGAUAGCCAUGCUAACGCGUGGGUACUACCGCAUACGUUCCUCGCGAGGAGUCUCGUGGGGAGGAAAGCUCCGGCGCGACGGGGAGGGGUUCGCGGCCUAUCAGCUAGUUGGCGGGUAAUCGGCCCACGAAGGCGACGACGGGUAG